UACGUAGGUGACAAGCGUUGUCCGGAUUUACUGGGCGUAAAGAGCGCGCAGGCGGUCGUUCAAGUCGAGUGUGAAAGCCCCCGGCUCAACUGUGGAGGGUCACUCGAUACUGAUCGACUCGAAGGCAGGAGAGGGUAGUGGAAUUCCCGGUGUAGUGGUGAAAUGCGUAGAUAUCGGGAGGAACACCAGUGGCGAAGGCGACUACCUGGCCUGUUCUUGACGCUGAGGCGCGAAAGCUAGGGGAGCAAACGGG
Molecule: ribosomal RNA, 253 nt
Filed under: uncultured bacterium
Lineage: Bacteria
Description: partial 16S ribosomal RNA
Rfam family: Bacterial small subunit ribosomal RNA
Source: RNAcentral